RNAcentral lists this long non-coding RNA (517 nucleotides) under Gallus gallus (chicken). The record is from RNAcentral. Lineage: Eukaryota; Metazoa; Chordata; Aves; Galliformes; Phasianidae.
GGGCAACCUGCUGCUGACAAGUCUUCGUAUGUACAGUGAAAACAGUAAAACAAUGCAAGUUUGUAGUCAGUACGGCUUCUCUACUGAUUCCAAGAUUUUCUUUCUCUCCUCUGCUGAGGGCAUCUCCGGUUUCACACCAUUUCUUUUCCUUUGCAUCAUAAUGUCAUGCCAGAAUUUUCUGCAGUUUUUGUACUUCAAAAAAUAAUCAGUACACAUAUCCUUUUUAUAGUUGUUGUCAUCCAUACAUUUUCUAGAGGCAUCUGUCUCCGCUAUGCAAGGAUUUCUGUCAUGAUCUCUAAGCUGCUGUGCAUACUUGGGCAUUCUAGACACUCGUACCCUGGCUCCGUCCCCGGCCGCGUCCGCGGGAGCCCGAGGCGGGAGGGGGACAGCCCCGUCUCCAAUUCGAAAGACGUCAGCGGCUCGGGCAGAGCGCUUAAGUACGGGCGCAGCCUACCCCGCUCCCGGCCUCGCGGCUCCCCCGGCCCAGCGCCGCCGCCGCCCACGCCCCGGCGGCGCU